GAAAUGCGAUAAGUAAUGUGAAUUGCAGAAUUCAGUGAAUCAUCGAAUCUUUGAACGCACCUUGCGCUCCUUGGUAUUCCUUGGAGCAUGCCUGUUUGAGUAUCAUGAAAUCUUCAAAGUAAAUCUUUUGUUAACUCAAUUGGUUUCUACUUUGGUAUUGGAGGUCUUUGCAGCUUCACACCUGCUCCUCUUUGUUCAUUAGCUGGAUCUCAGUGUUAUGCUUGGUUCCACUCGGCGUGAUAAGUUAUCUAUCGCUGAGGACACUGUAAAAGGUGGCCAAGGUAAAUGCAGAUGAACCGCUUCUAAUAGUCGAUUGACUUGGACAAUACUUUUAUGAUCUGAUCUCAAAUCAGGUAGGACUACCCGCUGAACUUAAGC
RNAcentral lists this unclassified non-coding RNA (378 nucleotides) under plant metagenome. RNAcentral describes it as "partial contains 5.8S ribosomal RNA, internal transcribed spacer 2, and large subunit ribosomal RNA". The stretch from base 1 to 105 matches the Rfam family "5.8S ribosomal RNA", at positions 50 to 154 of the family's 154-position model. The record is from RNAcentral.